Molecule: ribosomal RNA, 253 nt
Filed under: uncultured bacterium
Lineage: Bacteria
Description: partial 16S ribosomal RNA
Rfam family: Bacterial small subunit ribosomal RNA
Source: RNAcentral
UACGUAGGGUGCGAGCGUUAAUCGGAAUUACUGGGCGUAAAGCGUGCGCAGGCGGUUUUGUAAGCCAGAUGUGAAAUCCCCGGGCUUAACCUGGGAAUGGCAUUUGGGACUGCAUCGCUAGAGUACGGCAGAGGGGGAUGGAAUUCCGCGUGUAGCAGUGAAAUGCGUAGAUAUGCGGAGGAACACCGAUGGCGAAGGCAAUCCCCUGGGCCUGUGCUGACGCUCAUGCACGAAAGCGUGGGGAGCAAACAGG